AUCAAUGUUGCCAAUUAAAUCUACUAACUUGUGUUCAAUUUAUUUAACCACGCAGUGUAGUUUUUCCCCUCCAUAGCCUUUUUAAACCUCCCAUGGAACUAAUAUCAUGCAGAACCUAUUCUGUAACAUGCUGAUCUGAAGAUUUUCCAAAUGUGUAACUUACUUAAGUUUGUGGAGGCAUCAGAUCCCUUUGGGCAUGUGAUGUAUCUUGCAAGAAGUUGCUGUGGCCAAGUUCAAAAAGGUUGUUGCCUGUGUUCUCCUCUGCUUCUUCAAAUCUCACCACCAACAGAAACCAAUUACUGGCUAAAAGAAAACAUUCCCUCAUAAAGGGAAUAAGAAAAUGUCAUGGCUUAAAGAAGAAACUUUUAAGAUCACUUGCUGUUAAAUGAUAAUCAAAAUGAGAGAUCAGGGAUAAGGAUGGACAAAAAUAUUCCAUCUGCAACAAAGCCAAAGUUCUUGGAUAGAGGGUCUCACCAUGUCAGCAUGUGGAACAUGUACCAGAGAACUCCAAGAAUGAGGAUGUGCCUAAUACCAUGUUGCAUAUUUACAGGCUACCAGUAAGUGACACAAUCCUCUCUAUUGAUGAGGGGCAGCAGCAGAGAGCCACAGCUCCCAGUCAACCACAUGAUGAAAAAGCUGGUUUACAUUUUCCUUAGGCAAUGUUUUUAAUAGUGAAGAUUGUCAUCUUCAAUCUCUAUGUUCAGCCAAGUUGAAAUGAGCCCUCCUGAGACCUGAAGCAUUCCACCGUGUUACAGGGAGAAGCCGCACCAGACUCCUGCUGUAGUAGGAAGAAGCAGGUGGUCUUUUGCCUUGGCACAGUCCCUACUGCCUGAGAGGUCUCCCCAGCUACUUCCAUGGCUCACAGAUACAAUUCCUUUAGAAUGGAACUGUAACAAUUAUCAAGUGGAAGAAGUGGCAGGGGGUGACAAAGAGUCACAUUAUGAGAUAUUGUCAGAAACAUUUCAUCUCUGUGGCUUCUGCAUAGACUCCUGCAAGCAUUCUGGGCAAGGAGAACAAGAGAACCCUGGCCAGCUCAAUAUUACCAAGACCUCUUCUUGACAAACAUCUAAAAACUGUGGACUGUACUAGGAAAAGACUAGCUUUAUAUAUACAUAUUUAAUAUAUACACUGAUCUCUGUUGUGCUUCAAAAGCAUCCAUCUUUCUCAUAUAACUUAGCAUUUCAAAACACUAUUUUUUAAAAAAAGAUGGAGGGGGGGCCGCCAGUCAGUUUAAGGAAUGGACAAUUUGAAAUCUCCCCUGAUAUUUUAACAUGCCUCUUUUGGAAACUGCACACAAUUGCAAUCAGAGCAAACAAAGACAAUUUGCUUUUACAAUGAAGUAGCUUAAUGCUUUCCUUAAAGGUGUAACUUGAUUAAUUUCUUUUAUGAGGCUAAGCAGGAUGAUCCAAGAAGAAAAAUGUCAUGUAGCCACAGAGUAUUAUGAUUCAUUAUAAUAAAGGCCAGGAUAAUAACAACCUAAUAAUAGAAUACGAAUAGACUUUAAAGCAACAAUGCAAUGGAAUUUAUAGAAAGCAGCAAGCAGCUCUAAAGAAAAAUAGGAUGGGGACUUCUCAUGGCAAAAAAAAAAAAAAAUGAAUCUUGUUUGUCUCAGGAAAAAUGAAAUUCAAACUGGCUAUCUUUAAGUCUUUUUUCCAGCUUUACAUUUACCUUGGCAAGAGAAGCUCUGGUCUACAGAACACCAGUGUCCUUUCCCAAUGGAUGAAGGAAGAAGUUACUCCUAUCAGCUUUUGUUUAAUGUUAUAAAUCUGACUUACUUGUCAGCAUCAUGAUUCAUAAUAGCAAACAGAGAGAGUGUGAAGCCAGCAUUUCUGUGGGUUGGGAAUAGAUUAGAGUAUUUAGACAGCUUUCAUGUCCAGUCUCAGCCAGUCUUGCUGGACAUAAAAGAAACUUCAGAAAAUUCUCCAGAUCUACUACAGACUCAGAGUAAGAUCCAGGGAGAUGAAUCAUU
Molecule: long non-coding RNA, 1969 nt
Organism: Canis lupus familiaris (dog)
Lineage: Eukaryota; Metazoa; Chordata; Mammalia; Carnivora; Canidae
Exons: 7
Source: RefSeq, a predicted model, not a curated record